This 482-nucleotide ribosomal RNA is filed under the name uncultured bacterium. RNAcentral's name for it is "partial 16S ribosomal RNA". It matches the Rfam family "Bacterial small subunit ribosomal RNA", at positions 30 to 507 of the family's 1533-position model. The record is from RNAcentral.
AUUGAACGCUGGCGGCAUGCUUUACACAUGCAAGUCGAACGGUAACAGGCCGCAAGGUGCUGACGAGUGGCGAACGGGUGCGUAAUGCAUCGGAACGUGCCCAGUCGUGGGGGAUAACUACUCGAAAGAGUAGCUAAUACCGCCUACGAUCUAUGGAUGACAGCGGGGGACCGUAAGGCCUCGCGCGAUUGGAGCGGCCGAUGUCAGAUUAGGUAGUUGGUGGGGUAAAGGCUCACCAAGCCCACGAUCUGUAGCUGGUCUGAGAGGACGACCAGCCACACUGGAACUGAGACACGGCCCAGACUCCUACGGGAGGCAGCAGUGGGGAAUUUUGGACAAUGGGCGCAAGCCUGAUCCAGCAAUGCCGCGUGCAGGAAGAAGGCCUUCGGGUUGUAAACUGCUUUUGUACGGAACGAAACGGCUCUGGUUAAUACCCGGGGCUAAUGACGGUACCGUAAGAAUAAGCACCGGCUAACUACGUG